CCCUAAAAAGUUUUUUAGACACAAAGG
This 27-nucleotide transfer RNA is filed under the name Rhinella lindae. RNAcentral describes it as "partial tRNA-Phe". The record is from RNAcentral. Lineage: Eukaryota; Metazoa; Chordata; Amphibia; Anura; Bufonidae.